UAACAUAGGUCAAUUAUAUUAACCAGGGUAAUUCAUCUGCAGCAAGUGCAAUUAAGAAAGCCUUUCAUUAAAACUUAACCUGGUCAUCUGCACAACAAUGAUCAUCAGUCACGAAAAUGAACUGCAGGAGUCAUCACAAUAUUAUGAAAGGCUGUCCACACCAAGCAUCUGUCAUGCACUAAGCAGCCAUGAGAAGCUCUGACCACGUUCCUGCCCACCCCCCACCUAUAACAACAAAAAGAUGGGAAUGUCAGGCCUGGCCUGAAUGAGACCCUUGCACAGUAAACAGG
Molecule: long non-coding RNA, 290 nt
Filed under: Fukomys damarensis (Damara mole-rat)
Lineage: Eukaryota; Metazoa; Chordata; Mammalia; Rodentia; Bathyergidae
Description: lncRNA (ENSFDAG00000023173.1)
Source: RNAcentral